Molecule: ribosomal RNA, 424 nt
Filed under: uncultured bacterium
Lineage: Bacteria
Description: partial 16S ribosomal RNA
Rfam family: Bacterial small subunit ribosomal RNA
Source: RNAcentral
AAUAUUGGACAAUGGGCGAAAGCCUGAUCCAGCCAUGCCGCGUGUGUGACGAAGGNCCNNGGAUUNUNUAGCACUCUAAGCUGNNNNNCAGGGCUGUAGGUUACUACACUGCAAUUUUGACGUUACCAACAGAAUAAGCACCGGCUAACUUCGUUCCAGCAGCCGCGGUAAUACGAAGGGUGCAAGCGUUAAUCGGAAUUACUGGGCGUAAAGCGCGCGUAGGUGGGUCGUUAAGUUGGAAGUGAAAGCCCCGGGCUUAACCUGGGAAUUGCUUACAAAACUGACGAGCUAGAGUACGGUAGAGAGUAGUGGAAUUUCCUGUGUAGCGGUGAAAUGCGUAGAUAUAGGAAGGAACAUCAGUGGCGAAGGCGACUACCUGGACUGAUACUGACACUGAGGUGCGAAAGCGUGGGGAGCAAACAGG